This 242-nucleotide long non-coding RNA is filed under the name Physcomitrium patens. RNAcentral describes it as "long non-coding RNA (PPAT_LNC004406)". Lineage: Eukaryota; Viridiplantae; Streptophyta; Bryopsida; Funariales; Funariaceae. The record is from RNAcentral.
UUCAAAUAUCACUCUUAUGCUCACAAAUCACCUCUAUAUACUAUAAAAGGUCUUUUAAGUACAAUUAGUAUCUAUAGGAUAUGAAACUACAAAGUUAGAUCACCAAGGAUCUAUCUCAGUAAAAACAUAAUGCAAGUGUUUUAUAAUUUUUUAUUAAGAUGAAAAACCAAAAACCAACACCAAAAUUCUCUUGACUAUAAGUAAGAGCAAACCAAGAUCUAGAUCUAAAUCUAAAUCUAAAA